RNAcentral lists this ribosomal RNA (1252 nucleotides) under Nocardia cyriacigeorgica. RNAcentral's name for it is "bacterial SSU rRNA". It matches the Rfam family "Bacterial small subunit ribosomal RNA", at positions 38 to 1347 of the family's 1533-position model. The record is from RNAcentral. Lineage: Bacteria; Bacillati; Actinomycetota; Actinomycetes; Mycobacteriales; Nocardiaceae.
GGAAUGGCGGCUCUACCAUGCAGUCGAGCGGUAAGGCCCUUCGGGGUACACGAGCGGCGAACGGGUGAGUAACACGUGGGUGAUCUGCCUCGCACUCUGGGAUAAGCCUGGGAAACUGGGUCUAAUACCGGAUAUGACCUUACAUCGCAUGGUGUUUGGUGGAAAGAUUUAUCGGUGCGAGAUGGGCCCGCGGCCUAUCAGCUUGUUGGUGGGGUAAUGGCCUACCAAGGCGACGACGGGUAGCCGGCCUGAGAGGGCGACCGGCCACACUGGGACUGAGACACGGCCCAGACUCCUACGGGAGGCAGCAGUGGGGAAUAUUGCACAAUGGGCGAAAGCCUGAUGCAGCGACGCCGCGUGAGGGAUGACGGCCUUCGGGUUGUAAACCUCUUUCGACAGGGACGAAGCGCAAGUGACGGUACCUGUAGAAGAAGCACCGGCCAACUACGUGCCAGCAGCCGCGGUAAUACGUAGGGUGCGAGCGUUGUCCGGAAUUACUGGGCGUAAAGAGCUUGUAGGCGGCUUGUCGCGUCGAUCGUGAAAACUUGGGGCUCAACCCCAAGCUUGCGGUCGAUACGGGCAGGCUUGAGUACUUCAGGGGAGACUGGAAUUCCUGGUGUAGCGGUGAAAUGCGCAGAUAUCAGGAGGAACACCGGUGGCGAAGGCGGGUCUCUGGGAAGUAACUGACGCUGAGAAGCGAAAGCGUGGGUAGCGAACAGGAUUAGAUACCCUGGUAGUCCACGCCGUAAACGGUGGGUACUAGGUGUGGGUUUCCUUCCACGGGAUCCGUGCCGUAGCUAACGCAUUAAGUACCCCGCCUGGGGAGUACGGCCGCAAGGCUAAAACUCAAAGGAAUUGACGGGGGCCCGCACAAGCGGCGGAGCAUGUGGAUUAAUUCGAUGCAACGCGAAGAACCCUUACCUGGGUUUGACAUACACCGGAACCUGCAGAGAUGUAGCCCCCUUGUGGUCGGUGUACAGUGGUGCAUGGCUGUCGUCAGCUCGUGUCGUGAGAAUGUUGGGUUAAGUCCCGCAACGAGCGCACCCUAUCUAUGUGCAGCGCGUAUGCGGGGACUCGUGAGAGACUGCUGGGUCACUCGAGAGGUGGGACGACGUCAGUCAUCAUGCCCUAUGUCAGCUCAACAUGCUACAUGCGUACGAGGCUCAAUCGUAGUGAACGAUUCCUAGCGUUCAGUCGAAUCGUUCGCAACUGACCGGUAAAGUGGAUUCCCUGAAAUCGCGAGUAUACAACG